Molecule: long non-coding RNA, 423 nt
Filed under: Marmota monax (woodchuck)
Lineage: Eukaryota; Metazoa; Chordata; Mammalia; Rodentia; Sciuridae
Source: RNAcentral
AGAAAGCUUCAGUGUGCCCUUGUGUGAGGUUUUGCUGUUUGCUUUUGGUUCUUGCUGAUUUUUUCUUCUCAGGUACUGCAGGGGUACUGAGCCCAUCUGGGUUUCUGGUGAAAACAUCCCUCCAUGGGAGGCUUUUUUCUUUUGUUUUUUUGGAUUUUGUUAUGGGAGUUUUUGAAUUUCAGGUAUGGUGUUAAAUUAGGACUAUUUUAGUGUAUCAUCGCCCUGCUUUGUUUUUGAACAUUUAGAAACUUUACUAAAAUUUCAGGUGCCCAUGUGACAGUAGUAAUACAGAAGUUGCCCUGUGGUGAUGGGAGCAGAUGGUGUUCUGUGCCUCGAGGCAUCUUACUCACCCCCAUGUCACUCUCCUCAGUUCAUGUUUCAGCUCCUGCACCCCCUUGAGGGAGACAGAUUUUGCUUUAUUUA